RNAcentral lists this non-coding RNA (30 nucleotides) under Mus musculus (house mouse). The record is from RNAcentral. Lineage: Eukaryota; Metazoa; Chordata; Mammalia; Rodentia; Muridae.
UUGGCAUCGGCAAUAGUGUCUGCGGGUGGU